GAUGAACGCUGGCGGCGUGCCUAAUACAUGCAAGUCGAGCGAACGGACGAGAAGCUUGCUUCUCUGAUGUUAGCGGCGGACGGGUGAGUAACACGUGGAUAACCUACCUAUAAGACUGGGAUAACUUCGGGAAACCGGAGCUAAUACCGGAUAAUAUUUUGAACCGCAUGGUUCAAAAGUGAAAGACGGUCUUGCUGUCACUUAUAGAUGGAUCCGCGCUGCAUUAGCUAGUUGGUAAGGUAACGGCUUACCAAGGCAACGAUGCAUAGCCGACCUGAGAGGGUGAUCGGCCACACUGGAACUGAGACACGGUCCAGACUCCUACGGGAGGCAGCAGUAGGGAAUCUUCCGCAAUGGGCGAAAGCCUGACGGAGCAACGCCGCGUGAGUGAUGAAGGUCUUCGGAUCGUAAAACUCUGUUAUUAGGGAAGAACAUAUGUGUAAGUAACUGUGCACAUCUUGACGGUACCUAAUCAGAAAGCCACGGCUAACUACGUGCCAGCAGCCGCGGUAAUACGUAGGUGGCAAGCGUUAUCCGGAAUUAUUGGGCGUAAAGCGCGCGUAGGCGGUUUUUUAAGUCUGAUGUGAAAGCCCACGGCUCAACCGUGGAGGGUCAUUGGAAACUGGAAAACUUGAGUGCAGAAGAGGAAAGUGGAAUUCCAUGUGUAGCGGUGAAAUGCGCAGAGAUAUGGAGGAACACCAGUGGCGAAGGCGACUUUCUGGUCUGUAACUGACGCUGAUGUGCGAAAGCGUGGGGAUCAAACAGGAUUAGAUACCCUGGUAGUCCACGCCGUAGACGAUGAGUGCUAAGUGUUAGGGGGUUUCCGCCCCUUAGUGCUGCAGCUAACGCAUUAAGCACUCCGCCUGGGGAGUACGACCGCAAGGUUGAAACUCAAAGGAAUUGACGGGGACCCGCACAAGCGGUGGAGCAUGUGGUUUAAUUCGAAGCAACGCGAAGAACCUUACCAAAUCUUGACAUCCUUUGACAACUCUAGAGAUAGAGCUUUCCCCUUCGGGGGACAAAGUGACAGGUGGUGCAUGGUUGUCGUCAGCUCGUGUCGUGAGAUGUUGGGUUAAGUCCCGCAACGAGCGCAACCCUUAAGCUUAGUUGCCAUCAUUAAGUUGGGCACUCUAAGUUGACUGCCGGUGACAAACCGGAGGAAGGUGGGGAUGACGUCAAAUCAUCAUGCCCCUUAUGAUUUGGGCUACACACGUGCUACAAUGGACAAUACAAAGGGCAGCGAAACCGCGAGGUCAAGCAAAUCCCAUAAAGUUGUUCUCAGUUCGGAUUGUAGUCUGCAACUCGACUACAUGAAGCUGGAAUCGCUAGUAAUCGUAGAUCAGCAUGCUACGGUGAAUACGUUCCCGGGUCU
RNAcentral lists this ribosomal RNA (1372 nucleotides) under uncultured bacterium. RNAcentral's name for it is "bacterial SSU rRNA". It matches the Rfam family "Bacterial small subunit ribosomal RNA", at positions 28 to 1381 of the family's 1533-position model. The record is from RNAcentral.